Molecule: non-coding RNA, 2433 nt
Organism: Saimiri boliviensis boliviensis (Bolivian squirrel monkey)
Lineage: Eukaryota; Metazoa; Chordata; Mammalia; Primates; Cebidae
Source: RefSeq, a predicted model, not a curated record
CUCGGCGAAGAAGCGUCCAAUCGGCUUCUUUGGACUCAGCGGUCGCCUGCGCUGCCUUCGGUGCCGUUGGUGACGGCUGAGCCGCUUCCCGCGCGUCGCCUAACCCGCCCCUCGACUCACCGCAGCCCCGGCUCCUCCCUCGUCCGGCCCCCGGGGCGGGGUCUGUCGGCUCGCCCUCCCUUCUCUGCCUAAGCCUGCCCUCCGCCAGCCGGGUCCCCUCCCCACAGCACCACGGCUUCUCUUCCUCAGCAAGGCGACAGGGGCUUCCCCUUAGCCGCCGCCGCCGGCCAAGCCCCGCCGCGCCCGCGGCCCGCGGCCGCCAUGCAGUUUAUGUUGCUUUUUAGUCGUCAGGGAAAGCUUCGACUGCAAAAAUGGUAUGUCCCACUAUCAGACAAAGAGAAGAAAAAGAUCACCAGAGAACUUGUUCAGACCGUUUUAGCACGGAAACCUAAAAUGUGCAGCUUUCUUGAGUGGCGAGAUCUGAAGAUUGUUUACAAAAGAUAUGCUAGUCUGUAUUUUUGCUGUGCUAUUGAGGAUCAAGACAAUGAACUAAUUACCCUGGAAAUAAUUCAUCGUUAUGUGGAAUUACUUGACAAGUAUUUUGGCAGUGUCUGUGAACUAGAUAUCAUCUUUAAUUUUGAGAAGGCUUAUUUUAUUUUGGAUGAGUUUCUUUUGGGAGGGGAAGUUCAGGAAACAUCCAAGAAAAAUGUCCUUAAAGCAAUUGAGCAGGCCGAUCUACUGCAGGAGAGCCAGAAUGAAGAAUGGGGAGGUUUGUCUGAGGAUGUCUUAUAAUAAAGAGCCAGUCUAAGGCUUUAGCCCCUUUGAUCCCCAACUUAUUUAUUGGAAGCUGAAACCCCACGUAGUGUUCUUGAAGAAAUUGGACUGACAUAACUCUCCUCCCUUGUUGAUGACUUCUUGUGGCAUUUCACACACUGUAGAUGGUCACUCCCUUCAUCUCCAUGUUAGCUAAUGGUGUAAGAUGAUGUCUUGUCAGUGUUACUGUUUUGCUAAGCUGCUUCAUUCAUGUCUACACAAUAUUUUUUAAAGGGAACUUUGGUUAAUCAAGUGAUAAGGGACUUAAAUAUGAAUUAGAAUGGUAGCAGAAAAAGAUACCUUUUCUGGAUAUUUUAAAGUUUAAAGGUCAGUUUCUCUUAAUCUGAUUAUAUGCACAUAUGAAAAUGGCACAUAUACAUGUAAAAUCAGGCAGUAUACAUUUAUUAAUUACUGUAUUUGACAAAGGAAACAAAUUAUAAUGUGAAACCUGGUUUUAUGAAACCAAAGAUUAGUGCAGCAUUUCGGUAUAUAUUAAAAAAAAAGAAAGGGAAUUACAUGUCACAUAUCAAAUGAAUGGAGACUUAACUUUGCUGAAACUUUAAAAAGCAAAUUUGCUCCAAAGACGACUAUUGGAAAUUACAUACCUUUCAAAAAUAAAAGGGAAUAUUUUCAAAAAUAAAGGGAAUUAUUUUUAAUGACUUAAUUGGAAUGAUACUUUUACACUAAAAAUUAUUUCUUAGGCAUUCUGAAUCUGGGAUGAGAAACAGGAUUGUUUCAUAAUAGUAAGCACAUAAUUUUUAAGGCCAAGGCACAUUUGACUCCUGAGAUGAAUUUUUUUGUGGUCAUAAUGACAUACGUAGUUGUUUUUGAUGCCCAAAAUAAAGUGAGAAUGUUAAUUUGCCAGGAAUUCUUCAUAACAGUAUCUUACAGAAAACAUGUUGCUCUCUCUCUUCACAGUGUUAUGUGUAAAGUCAUUGUUUAAAGCAUGAAUGUUCCUUCUGGGAUGCUUGUUAAUGCCAAAUUUAUUUUGCUUCCCUAUUUGCUUCCCUCCACUUAGAAGUGCUGCAAACUUUACAGCAGCUUCCUUUCUUUCCAUGGCACUGCCUAGUUAACCGAAGUCUUAUAAAAAUUUAAAAAGACAUGUUUCAUAUAAAAAAGUGAGAGUUGAAUGAGGUAAAAUGGCAUUAGUUGGCCCUAUAUUUUUUAAAGCUAUAUAAUUGUUCAGCGUCACUUUUCUAAGUACUUACACAUAUCUAAACAUGUCUUCAUGGUUUAUACUUUCACAUGUAUAUGCUGGGCUGGAUUAAGCUUUGUUGUGAUUGUGACCAAUAUUCAGGCCACGUGAGCACUGUCUUAUCACUUCACCAAUUAGUUGUAAUAAACAUUCAACGUACAAAUACUGGAGUGUGUUUUUAUCUCUUUCCAAAAGUUUGUCAAACUAUGGAGAGCUAGUGAAGAAAGAAUUUCUAAUUUUUUUUUCAGUAAAACAUUGAAAAUUCCCCUCCAUUUGAAUAUGGUGGUUGUUAUAAGCACACACAAGAUACAUGGUGGAAGAUCUAAGGAGUCUUCAUGUACUUCAUUAAAUAACAUGGAUUCCAUGCUGUUGUGAGCUUAUCUACACAUUUAUUUUCAAUCAAUAAAUGCUGCUUUUAAAACCUU